RNAcentral lists this ribosomal RNA (449 nucleotides) under uncultured bacterium. RNAcentral describes it as "partial 16S ribosomal RNA". It matches the Rfam family "Bacterial small subunit ribosomal RNA", at positions 29 to 523 of the family's 1533-position model. The record is from RNAcentral.
AACGAACGCUGGCGGCAGGCUUAACACAUGCAAGUCGAACGCCCCGGUAACGGGGAGUGGCAGACGGGUGAGUAACGCGUGGGAAUCUACCCAACUCUACGGAAUAACUCAGGGAAACUUGUGCUAAUACCGUAUACGCCCUUCGGGGGAAAGAUUUAUCGGAGUUGGAUGAGCCCGCGUUGGAUUAGCUAGUUGGUGGGGUAAAGGCCUACCAAGGCGACGAUCCAUAGCUGGUCUGAGAGGAUGAUCAGCCACAUUGGGACUGAGACACGGCCCAAACUCCUACGGGAGGCAGCAGUGGGGAAUAUUGGACAAUGGGCGCAAGCCUGAUCCAGCCAUGCCGCGUGAGUGAUGAAGGCCCUAGGGUUGUAAAGCUCUUUCACCGGUGAAGAUAAUGACGGUAACCGGAGAAGAAGCCCCGGCUAACUUCGUGCCAGCAGCCGCCGUAA